UCAAACGGUAACAGGGGCAGGGAAACGCCCAAACCCUUUCCGAACUUGGAAGCUAAGCCUGCCUACGAUAUGUGUGUACUGUCUCAGGAUGGGAAAGCAUAUUGCUGUUUGGC
RNAcentral lists this ribosomal RNA (113 nucleotides) under Microcaldota archaeon. RNAcentral also lists the same sequence under 1 other name. The record is from RNAcentral. Lineage: Archaea; Nanobdellati; Microcaldota.